RNAcentral lists this transfer RNA (72 nucleotides) under Bos taurus (domestic cattle). It matches the Rfam family "tRNA". Rfam says of the family: Transfer RNA (tRNA) molecules are approximately 80 nucleotides in length. The record is from Rfam by way of RNAcentral. RNAcentral also lists the same sequence under 2 other names. Lineage: Eukaryota; Metazoa; Chordata; Mammalia; Artiodactyla; Bovidae.
UCCUUGAUGGUCCAGUGGUUAAGACUCUGCACUCUGACUGCAAGGGGCACAGGUUCGAUUCCUGGUGGGGAG